UUUAGACUUCGGUCUAGCAACUUGGCGAUUCCACACUUCCAAGAAAAGCCGCGUACUGAGCUUCUUCCGUAACCGUACUACAAACCGACUCAGGUGGGCGGGAAGAAUAUUCCGAGGCGCGUGAGAGAACCCUGGUUAAGGAACUCUGCAAACUGACACCGUAACUUCGGGAGAAGGUGUGCCUUUUGACGUGAGCUGGUUCGCCCAGCAGAGCGUCGGGAGGUCGCAGAGAAUCGGGGGUUGUGACUGUUUACUAAAAACCUAGCACUCUGCUAAGUCGAAAGACGACGUAUAGGGUGUGAUGCCUGCCCGGUGCUGGAAGGUUAAGGGGAAUUGUCAGCGCAAGCGAAGCAGUGAACCGAAGCCCCAGUAAACGGCGGCCGGAACUAUAACGGUCCUAAGGUAGCGAAAUUCCUUGUCGGGUAAGUACCGACCUGCACGAAUGGCAUAACAACAUCCCCGCUGUCUCGACCAGGGACUCAGCGAAAUUGUAUUGGGGGUGAAGAUACCCUCUACCUGCGGCAAGACGGAAAGACCCCAUGAACCUUUACUGCAACUUGGCAGUGAGUUUCGGGACAUUCUGCGUAGGAUAAGUGGGAGGCUUUGAAGUCGGGCUUCUGGGUUCGAUGGAGCCAACGUUGAAAUACCACUCUGGAUGUUCUGGGAUUCUAACCUGCGUCCGUGAUCCGGACGAGGGACACUGCCUGGCGGGCAGUUUGACUGGGGCGGUCGCCUCCUAAAAUGUAACGGAGGCGUGCGAAGGUUCCCUCAGCCUGAUUGGAAACCAGGCGUAGAGUGCAAACGCACAAGGGAGCUUAACUGCGAGACCGACAGGUCGAGCAGGUGCGAAAGCAGGCGUUAGUGAUCCGGUGGUUCCGAAUGGAAGGGCCAUCGCUUAUCGGAUAAAAGGUACUCUGGGGAUAACAGGCUGAUCGCGCCUGAGAGUUCACAUCGGCGGCGCGGUUUGGCACCUCGAUGUCGGCCCAUCGCAUCCUGGGGCUGGAGCAGGUCCCAAGGGUUCGGCUGUUCGCCGAUUAAAGCGGUACGCGAGCUGGGUUUAAAACGUCGUGAGACAGUUUGGUCCCUAUCUGCCGUGGGCGAAGGAUACUUGAGAGGAGCUGACCAUAGUACGAGAGGACCUGGUUGGACGUACCCCUAGUGAUCCAGUUGUCACGCCUGUGGCACAGCUGGGUAGCUAUGUACGGAACGGAUAACCGCUGAAAGCAUCUAAGCGGGAAGCCGGCCUCAAGACAAGGUGUCCCAAGCGCAAGCUUCUAAAGACCCCUCGUAGACUACGAGGUUGAUAGGCCGGGUGUGGAUUUGGAGCAAUCCAAGGAGCUAACCGGUACUAAUAGGUCGUGCGGCUUUAUC
Molecule: ribosomal RNA, 1371 nt
Filed under: metagenome
Description: bacterial LSU rRNA
Rfam family: Bacterial large subunit ribosomal RNA
Source: RNAcentral